Molecule: transfer RNA, 66 nt
Filed under: Orobdella naraharaetmagarum
Lineage: Eukaryota; Metazoa; Annelida; Clitellata; Hirudinida; Orobdellidae
Description: tRNA-Val
Source: RNAcentral
CAAACUAUAGCAUAUAAAAUGCUUUUUAUUUACAUUAAAAAAAAAAAUACCCAUAUUUUAGUUUGA